AAAAAUCCCACCUCUCCCUUGCCCCUGGAAACAGCAGCGUCCUUGUUCUGCUGAGCUCACUGCUGGCCAUACUGAUCAGUGCCAUUUCCUUUGUCUUCGUUUAUUUUAGAAUUAAGCUAUAAGCUGUUUAAGACUGGGCUAUUUUUGUUCUGUACUUGUGCAGGGUCUGUUACAUGAGGAUCCCAAAUGCUAAAGUAACUGCUCUUCCUAAAGGCAGAAGCACUGUGCACGUCAGGAGCAGGAUGGGCAUUGCUCUGAAAGCGAAGUGCUGUGUUUUUGCUCCGAUAAAAUGUUUUGGCAAGCCCAUCCCUGGUCAGAGGAAUGCCUAGGUCAGGGCCAGAACCAUGGCCAUCUUCCGCCCCCGAGCUGGAUUGGCUUUUGUCAGCCAGAUGCCUUCUGAUCUCCACCUUCUCCCUCCGUCCCUCUUCUGACAGUAGCCAUGUGCUCAGCAGGGGCUCUGCAGCCCUGUUUGCUUUAGCUGGGGAGAUGUUUGCCUUUCCUGCAGAACUCCAACUGCCGGGGAAACCUGGGGCGGCUGUGUUGAUUUAUUAGGGCACAGUGUGCCUCAGGAAUGCCUCUGCUAAGGAGCUGGGAGUGAUGGAAGGGAUCCUGCCCGGAGCGGCGUGAAGCCUUCUCGUUUCUCUUUACACAGACUCGAAGCAGGAAUUCCCCAAAGCAAGCUUGAGGCACACUCCUCAGGAAGAGAAAUGAAGGUGUCUCAGCGUUCCCAAGAUCCCAGAUGCGUAAUGCCCGGCAGCCUCUCGGUGCUGCUGCGGGAUGAAUCCACCUGAUGAAUGGUACCGCCUGUGAUUAGUGGACAAGGGGGUUCACCAGGCACGUGGGCUGCUGGAAAGAGUGAGUGGUGCUAUGGGAGAAUACACAUUUGUUCCCUUUAGGUAGGGAGCUCCUGUGAAGGACAAAAGUUGUCUGUUGAGCAGAAAUGGUGAUGUGUCCAGUUCUGCCCUCAGCAGACGUAUUUCCUCCAAAGGUUGCCUGUCCAUUUUCUUGUCUUUGUCUUGGCUCUGCCUCCCUCCCCUGCCAUCCCCCACCCCUUUCCUGAGGGAUUAUCAGGAUGUGCGAACUGCAGCGGUGCUGCACCUCUGGUGCUGUCACUGCAACGUAAAACAACACCUACAAUUAAAUUUUUCUAUGCAAGCUAAUGAGUUUAACCUACAGACAGAAACAAACAAAUAUUCUACUUUCUGAUAGUGAUCUAUGGCCAGAAACGAGCGAGUGAGUGUGACCAAACCUGCAGACAGCCUCCCAGAGCAGGGUGAUGUUCAUAUCUGGCUGUCAGUCACCAUACAGUGUCGUGAGCUGCUUUGUGCUGGCUGAGCGCGGUGGUGUUGACAGCUGUAGACCCUUGAAGAAAUGUCUCCCUGAAACUGAGUUCUCCUGUCAGACUGCAGCCUGUUAAACAGGAUAGCUGCAACUCCUACUUCAGUUCGCCUGGCAAAGCGCUCUGUGAGUAAAUGUGUGGAAUUUGAAUACAGGAAUUUGAAUAUCAAAUGUAGGGUGGUACAGCAGAGAUCCCAGACUGCAUGAGCUGCAGGAGAUCUGCAGAUCUACAUGGACUUGUUGGAGAGUGAAACCCUGGCACCUGGACACUUGG
Molecule: non-coding RNA, 1612 nt
Organism: Anas platyrhynchos (mallard)
Lineage: Eukaryota; Metazoa; Chordata; Aves; Anseriformes; Anatidae
Source: RefSeq, a predicted model, not a curated record